This 145-nucleotide small nuclear RNA is filed under the name Erpetoichthys calabaricus (reedfish). RNAcentral describes it as "U1 spliceosomal RNA (ENSECRG00000011728.1)". It matches the Rfam family "U1 spliceosomal RNA". Rfam says of the family: U1 is a small nuclear RNA (snRNA) component of the spliceosome (involved in pre-mRNA splicing). Its 5' end forms complementary base pairs with the 5' splice junction, thus defining the 5' donor site of an intron. The record is from RNAcentral. Lineage: Eukaryota; Metazoa; Chordata; Cladistia; Polypteriformes; Polypteridae.
AAAGUAGUAAUUUUAAUUAAAUAAAUUAAAGGUCAAGGGUCAUACAUUACACUCUGGGUUAUGCUGAGCCCUGCGAUUUCCCCAAAUGUGGGGAACUCAGUUGCAUAAUUUGUGGUAGUGGUGGGACUGUGUUUGCACUCCUGUA